Molecule: long non-coding RNA, 796 nt
Organism: Equus caballus (horse)
Lineage: Eukaryota; Metazoa; Chordata; Mammalia; Perissodactyla; Equidae
Source: Ensembl
AGAGCAUCCUCCGGAGUGCUGAGCUGCGCAUGAGGCCCUGGCAAGGGAGCCCUGAGCUGUUAGUGACCUUAGGCUAGUCACUCCAUUUCUUUGGACCUAAGUUGCCUUAUAUGUGAAAUGAGGGAGUUGAGGUACAUCACCAAGGCACUUUGUCCUGCCCUGGGGAGUGACAGCCUGCAGUCAAGAGGAUGCUGGGCUGCACCAGCCUCUGCCUGUGUCUGGGCAGGACAUGGCGGUGCUAAGAGUGGCUCUGGAGUCACCUUCCACCUGGCUCUGCCUCUCAUCAAGGGUCUGAAAUGCUUUUGCACAGCCACUUCCUCAUCAGAUGAUCACCAUGAUGAUACAACAGAAAGGUUAAGAAGACCUCAUGAUACAGUUGGCCAUGGAGAUGACUGAACCAUCAACCUCUGAGCAGUGAAGAUCUGGAUUCCUAGAUUUCCCUGAAGUCGUCAACCUCUCACAAGCAAAAAAAUGACCAAAAGGGAGGACUGAAUAUGCAAACAGACAGUGACCAGACCACACAAACCAAAGAACUCUGACACACAAUCUCUGCAGUAACCAGCCCAGAAUGGUCAGGACUUGGUCAGUGACUGCUGGCUUCCCUAUUUUUUCCUGUUUCCAACUCAGGACCAAUCAGAGAAAACCAAAUAUGUUCCCCAAGUGAAUCACGUAAGGCACCCAGCUUCUAGUUAGCCUAUCUCCAGCUUCCUCGUGCCAACAAUCUCAAAUCACAGCAUACCUGAAGCCUCUCCUCUGCCUGCCUUUCAGUCUCUGCCAAAAACAAGUGAUGGUGGCU